RNAcentral lists this ribosomal RNA (455 nucleotides) under uncultured bacterium. Its description in RNAcentral is "bacterial SSU rRNA". It matches the Rfam family "Bacterial small subunit ribosomal RNA", at positions 29 to 514 of the family's 1533-position model. The record is from RNAcentral.
AACGAACGCUGGCGGCAUGCCUAACACAUGCAAGUCGAAGCGGAUCCUGGCUUCGGCCAGGUGAGAGUGGCGGACGGGUGAGUAACGCGUGGGAACCUGCCCAAUGGUCUGGGAUAACCGCGGGAAACUGCGGCUAAUACCGGAUAAGCCCGAGAGGGGAAAGAUUUAUCGCCGAUGGAGGGGCCCCGCGUCCGAUUAGGUGGUUGGUGAGGUAACGGCUCACCAAGCCUACGAUCGGUAGCUGGUCUGAGAGGAUGAUCAGCCACACUGGGACUGAGAUACGGCCCAGACUCCUACGGGAGGCAGCAGUGGGGAAUAUUGGACAAUGGGGGCAAGCCCUGCAUCCAGCAAUGCCGCGUGAGUGAUGAAGGCCUUAGGGUUGUAAAUGCUCUUUUGCCAGGGACGAUUGAUGACGGUACCUGGAGAAUAAGCCCCGGCUAACUUCGUGCCAGCAG